Molecule: ribosomal RNA, 254 nt
Filed under: uncultured bacterium
Lineage: Bacteria
Description: partial 16S ribosomal RNA
Rfam family: Bacterial small subunit ribosomal RNA
Source: RNAcentral
UACGGGGGAUGCAAGCGUUAUCCGGAUUUAUUGGGUUUAAAGGGUGCGUAGGCUGUGAGGUAAGUCAGCGGUGAAAUGCCCCCGCUCAACGGGGUGAAGUGCCAUUGAUACUGCCUUGCUGGAAUGCGGAUGCCGUGGGAGGAAUGUGUGGUGUAGCGGUGAAAUGCAUAGAUAUCACACAGAACACCGAUUGCGAAGGCAUCUCACGAAUCCGCGAUUGACGCUGAGGCACGAAAGCAUGGGUAUCAAACAGG